AUGUUAUCAAGAAAGGUUGAGGGAUAUAGACCCUAUGAAACCUUAGCAACCCUUUGCGCAAGCAGAGAAGGUGCUACGUUCUACCAAAUAAUUUAUUUUGGACAGAUAACUU
RNAcentral lists this non-coding RNA (112 nucleotides) under Chryseobacterium sp. RNAcentral describes it as "SAM-I sequence". It matches the Rfam family "SAM riboswitch aptamer (S box leader)". From Rfam's summary of the family: The SAM riboswitch is found upstream of a number of genes which code for proteins involved in methionine or cysteine biosynthesis in Gram-positive bacteria. The SAM riboswitch acts at the level of transcription termination control. The record is from RNAcentral. Lineage: Bacteria; Pseudomonadati; Bacteroidota; Flavobacteriia; Flavobacteriales; Weeksellaceae.